CAUACGUAGUUAGAAAGAAAGUCGAGUGGAAAUUAGUCGGACAAUGGAGGCUGCAAGUGAAAUCCUUUUUGGAACCCGACGGCCACCACUCCUUCUUUUAUAAUCCCUAUACCUUUUUUGGUGCACUUGUGCCAAACAAUUUGUAAGCCAUCAUUUCAAUUAAGAUGCAUAAAUCACGCCGAAAUCAGCAGCCUCAUCAGGGCAGCAACAGCAACAUCAUCACCACCGCCAUGAUUAUCCGCCGCGUACACAUCGUUAUCCUCAAUCCCUCGUCGGGAGUUCGUUUCACUCGAUGCCGCCUUGGGUUUGGGCUUUCGAUUCUGUUAAACGAACCAAUUUAAACGGCGCAUCGACAAUGGAUAAAGUGGCAGAAGUGUGCGGGUGUGUCUCAAUCCUUUCCAGGGGCGAAAGGGAUCGACGAUUGCAGCUCUUUUUAGUCGGCUCGUGAAACUGCUGUUUCACGCUUCAGCAAAUGCUCUUCGAGCCACAGCAGCUGUGGAGGUAUCAACAAAUUGCAGCAGAUACAAUGCAGAGAUGCCAACAGUCCUGUUCUGGAUUCCACACUUAUUUAUGGGUUUCAAAUUUAAAUGAAGUAAAGGGAAUCGAUCCUUAUUUGUGGAAUGAAUAUUUUACAAUUUCGAAUUUCCAAGAAGUUUA
Molecule: non-coding RNA, 657 nt
Organism: Drosophila suzukii
Lineage: Eukaryota; Metazoa; Arthropoda; Insecta; Diptera; Drosophilidae
Source: RefSeq, a predicted model, not a curated record